GAUGAACGCUAGCUACAGGCUUAACACAUGCAAGUCGAGGGGUAACGAGAGGAAAGCUUGCUUUCCUUGUCGACGACCGGCGCACGGGUGAGUAACGCGUAUCCAACCUGCCCCCAACUAGGGAAUAACCUUGCGAAAGUAAGACUAAUACCCUAUAAUUUCCUCAGAUGUCAUCUGACGAGGAAUAAAGAUUUAUCGGUUGUGGAUGGGGAUGCGUCUGAUUAGCUUGUUGGCGGGGUAACGGCCCAGCAAGGCAACGAUCAGUAGGGGUUCUGAGAGGAAUGUCCCCCACAUUGGAACUGAGACACGCUCCAAACUCCUACGGGAGGCAGCAGUGAGGAAUAUUGGUCAAUGGGCGGAAGCCUGAACCAGCCAAGUAGCGUGCAGGAUGACGGCCCUAUGGGUUGUAAACUGCUUUUAUACAGGAAUAAAGUUAGCCACGUGUGGUUAUUUGUAGGUACUGUAUGAAUAAGGACCGGCUAAUUCCGUGCCAGCAGCCGCAGUAA
This 506-nucleotide ribosomal RNA is filed under the name uncultured bacterium. RNAcentral's name for it is "partial 16S ribosomal RNA". It matches the Rfam family "Bacterial small subunit ribosomal RNA", at positions 28 to 523 of the family's 1533-position model. The record is from RNAcentral.